AUGUAUGGUAGGAGAGCGUUCUGUAUGGGGAGAAGUCGUAGCGAAAGCGGCGGUGGACUAUACAGAAGUGAGAAUGCCGGAAUAAGUAGCGAGAAUUAAGUGUGAAUCUUAAUGGCCGAAAGUCUAAGGUUUUUGGAGGAAGGUUCGUCCGCUCCAAGUAAGUCGGGAGCUAAGGUCAGGCCGAAAGGCGUAGCCGAUGCACAUACGGUUGAUAUUCCGUAACCAUCUGUAAUUUAAGCAAAGGGACACUUCAAAAGGGUGUGACCCGGGCGUUGGUUGACCCGGGCGUAAGGGACCGAAAUUAGAGUAGGGAAGCACACUUGGCUGAAGGCGAGAAAAGCUUUGCGUAUAGAAACAGAUGCCCGUACCGCAAACCGACACAGGUGGACAGGAAGAGAAUUCUAAGGCCAGCGGGAGAAGGGUAGUUAAGGAACUCGGCAAAUUGACUCCGUAACUUCGGAAUAAGGAGUGCUCGAAAGAGCCGCAGAGAAUAGGCCCAGGCGACUGUUUAGCAAAAACACAGGUCUCUGCCAAAUCGAAAGAUGAAGUAUAGGGGCUGACACCUGCCCGGUGCCGGAAGGUUAAGAGGAGGAGUGAGAGCUCCGAAUUGAAGCCCCGGUAAACGGCGGCCGUAACCAUAACGGUCCUAAGGUAGCGAAAUUCCUUGUCGGGUAAGUUCCGACCCGCACGAAUGGUGUAACGAUCUGGGCACUGUCUCAACUACCCACCCGGCGAAAUUGUAGUGCCGGUGAAGAUGCCGGUUACCUGCGGCAAGACGGAAAGACCCCAUGGAGCUUUACUGUAGCCUGAUAUUGGGUUUCGGAAAUCUAUGUACAGGAUAGGCGGGAGACUGGGAAACAUGAGCGUCAGCUUGUGUGGAGUCGAUGUUGGGAUACCGCCCUUAGGUUUCUGGAAUUCUAACCUGCGGCCGUGAAUCCGGUCGGGGGACAUUGUCAGGUGGGCAGUUUGACUGGGGCGGUCGCCUCCGAAAAGGUAACGGAGGCGCUCAAAGGUUAGCUCAGCACGGACGGAAACCGUGCCUCUGAGUGUAAACGCAAAAGCUAGCCUAACUGCGAGGGUGACGGCCCGAGCAGUAACGAAAGUUGGAGUUAGUGAUCCGGCGGUAUGUGAAUGGAAAUGCCGUCGCUCAACGGAUAAAAGCUACCCUGGGGAUAACAGGCUGAUCUCCCCCAAGAGUCCACAUCGACGGGGAGGUUUGGCACCUCGAUGUCGGCUCAUCACAUCCUGGGGCUGUAUUCGGUCCCAAGGGUUCGGCUGUUCGCCGAUUAAAGUGGUACGCGAGCUGGGUUCAGAACGUCGCGAGACAGUUCGGUCCCUAUCUGUCGUGGGCGCAGGAUAUUUGAGGAGCUCUGUCCUUAGUACGAGAGGACCGGGAUGGACGUACCUCUGGUGCACCAGUUGUCAUGCCAAUGGCACGGCUGGGCAGCUAUGUACGGAACGGAUAAACGCUGAAAGCAUCUAAGCGUGAAGCCGACUCCAAGAUUAGAUAUCCCAUCGUAUAACGAGUAAGACUCCUUGAAGACUACGAGGUUGAUAGGCUGCGUGUGUAAGUGCCGUGAGGCAUUCAGCUUGGCAGUACUAAUAGGUCGAGGGCUUGACCU
RNAcentral lists this ribosomal RNA (1622 nucleotides) under metagenome. RNAcentral describes it as "bacterial LSU rRNA". It matches the Rfam family "Bacterial large subunit ribosomal RNA", at positions 1221 to 2925 of the family's 2925-position model. The record is from RNAcentral.